GAACUUUUGGAUGUGGGUUCUUUCCUGGCAUAGGAUUUUUAGUUGCUAACUAAUUUUUGGCUUCUGGGUUCUUUCCAGCAUAAGAUUUUGAGCAUUACCCUACUGAGUUUUAAUUUUUCCAGUUCCCUAGUAACUCUUGGUGUGAUUUCUUCCCAUUUCAAUCACUGACAUUUCUUUUGGGUAUCUAAGUUUUGGGUCUUCUUGGUUUUUAGCUUUAUCUUUCCCCAUCUGGAUAUUACACUACUCGGUACUUGUGGUUCUAAUUUUAGCUUCAAUUUCUCCUCAUCUUUGAUUCUCUAUUCAUAUAUUUUUUUUUGGCAAUCAAAUUUUGGCUAAGCUUUCAUUGGAGAAAUGGGUGUUUGGUCUCUGUUUAGUUUUCCGGUUAGCGCAGUCAUGGGGGGUUUGGUCGGCCGUGUAUCAGCGAAACCCACUUCUUUCUGUCCCACUCUUGCUUAGGAAUUUCUCUGUUGCUAUUGUGCGCCACCCUAUUAGUUACUGUAUCAGCUAACGUGCACCGAAUAUGGGUGGUUGUUCCUUCGGAGCGCAUGUUUUUUUUCUUGGAUUCUUGGAAGGGAUGUUCUUGCUCAUUUGCCCUCUUUGUUUGGCCUAUUUAUAUAUCUAAUCUCUCCGGGCACAACUUUUCUUUGCUAUUGCGCCCUUCGCUUUUUGGUGCACUCGCAUUGGUGAUCCUCAUGGGGUUUCUUCUUUUGUCCCGUUUCUUUCAAGAAAUUACCUCUCUUUUCAGUGUUUUGAAAAGCAUCACAAAAAAAAAGUUGAGCAAUUCUAAAGCUUUAAUUUCGGUGUUGAUUGCCGCUAAUUGGUAAUUACCGGCAUAAUUCCUUUCUUUUCAAGCG
Molecule: unclassified non-coding RNA, 854 nt
Filed under: Hevea brasiliensis (rubber tree)
Lineage: Eukaryota; Viridiplantae; Streptophyta; Magnoliopsida; Malpighiales; Euphorbiaceae
Source: RNAcentral